RNA transcript from Dermacentor silvarum, 7032 nucleotides. It is a transcript of the gene named ubiquitin-related modifier 1 homolog, with no coding region annotated. NCBI's taxonomy places the organism in Eukaryota, Metazoa, Arthropoda, Arachnida, Ixodida, Ixodidae. The record is from RefSeq and is a predicted model, not a curated record. The transcript has 4 exons.
UUUUGUUGUGUUGUGCUCGCUGGUGCAUGUGUGCAAAUACCGUGUUGUUAGUGCAGAGAUGCCGCGCUUUUGAGUUUAUGACAUAGUGUACAGACAUGCGUAGAUAAUUAUAUUCUAGUGUCGACGCUUUUAACAAGAGCCAUGACUAAUGAGAUUCAUCUGCGUGUAGAAUUCGGAGGCGGGGCAGAGCUACUUUUCGGGAAUCAGACAAAACACGAUGUCGCCUUAGACGGUGGACGUGACAAAUGCACCUUGUCCGAUUUAAUCAUGUGGUUGAAGGCAAACCUCCUGAAAGGAAAAGAAGAACUGUUUGUUCAGGGAAACACUGUCUUCCAUGCCUGGAUUGGACCCAUGACCUUUGCAGCGCAACACCAUCGCCACUAAGCUACCACCGCAGCAAUCACCUCAUAUCCACACAUUUAGUGUGGUCCAAUGCCAACCUUUUUUUAGCAUGGCCUCAUACAUCAACCUUCUUUCUUACCCUCUUCUUAUUAAAUUUUUAACCCAUUGUACGGGCAUGUCAGCAUGUAUGUUUAAGCUCAACAAUUUAGAUGAUGGUUCUACUGCUGCUUUGGAACUGUAUGACCUCAAAACCCUUCCAUCAAGAAAUUUCCAACUAAUCUAUGAAUAAAUUGUGUAUGCAAAAGUGCUCAUUUUCACCUCUUGCAAAACAUGUAAACAUGGAUACAGUGCUCUUGUAAAUUAACAAAAAAUUAAAAUAGUAAGAUUAUGUUCUCAGCCGGUAGUGUGAGCCCUCCCCAUCUCCCUUUUCAGGUUUCAGUUUUCAGUUUGUUCACUUUUCAGCUCAUAGCUUUGAAAGCGAGGUAAAGUUAUGUGAGGCAAAUACAGUAAUUGUAAGUACUAAAAAUUAUUUUUGUGUUCCUUGUAAACAUGCUGAAGUGUCUUGAAGCCACUUUUCAAUUUAUGAUCAAUAUCUUUGUUGUAUUAAUAGCUGUUGGGUAUGGAGGGUUGUCUUCACUGGGCCACUUCGGUAGUCUCACAUUGUAAAGAAAACAGUCUGAAAGUAUGUGCAAGGUAAAGACAACACAGUGCUUCUAUAUGUGAUCUCUUUGUCACUGUUUUUGCACUGCUUUUUUCACACAAGACAUGGGAGAUUAUAGUCUUCGGUAAUAUAGUUUGUUCACAUUAUAAUUUCUGUUGGACUAAUAACCCAGCAUGGUUGAAAUGUCACAUCACACAAUGACAAUUCACUUGAUCCUUAGGGUAAAUUCUGAACCUGGCAUGUAUUUUCUCUCAUUAAAGAGUCUGACAGCUUGAUUACACUUUUUCUUAGUAUAUCACUAUGAUGUUGCACUAAUGCACUCGCAGUACAAUAAGACAUAGAAGGUAUGGGUGCAGGAUUACAGUGGAAGCAUGGGGGCAGGUGCUAGUCCGAACACAUAACAACCAUGGACGCACUUUAUAUGAGCAACUUUUCCCUCAUCACUCGGAUGAUUGCCGCUAUAGUCGAGCGCCUCUACAACGAAAUGACCUGUAUAACGAAGAAUAAUUCUGUCCCGGUUCUAUUGUCAGCUGAGCAGUGUACGACAUUUUCAACGAAGUGACCUGUAUAACGAAUGAUUUUGGAGGCCCUAAGCACUUCCUUAUGAAGGCGUUCGACUGUGUAUACAAGAACUGGCAGAAGUAGGGGACAAGGGGUAGCGCUCGGCAAUUUAAUGACAAAGCUAAAAGUUGCAAUCAAUUUUGCACAAACUGAAAGUGCAGCACUGCUGUUACAAAGUUAAAGGCUUUACAAAAUAAAAAAGUCACUGUUGCCCUUGCCAAAAUUCAGGAAGAAGCCUAUGUUCAAUUCAAUUUCUUCUUUCUUUUUAAAUUACAGAAAAAUACACAGUAUGUCUAGAGCCAUAGCCAGUGGCAAGUAAGGGGUCAAGUACAUUAAAGGUGUAUUAGUGCAAGUAAGAAAAGAUAUUUUACAAGGCAAAUCGACACAAUAAAGAAAUGCAAUUGUAUAUACUAGAUCAUAUAGGUUUAACAAGUGUCUUAGUAGUAUAUGAAAGAAAAACAAACACCUGUAAGUGAAAUUGAUUACACAGAAGGUAUAUAAGAGGGUAUCUUAACUCAUUAAUGUUGCCGAUAAGCACUGAUGCACCUUAUUUGUGUCAUUGCGAGUACAAAUAUUUUAUUAGAAAAGUCAAUCCAUCGAAAUGUUAUGCACAAAAUAUCUCCUUAUAGAAGGCAGAAAAUCAGAGGCAUUUUUUAUAUGUUAUUGUUAGUGGUUUAGAGAACAAUGUGCAUCCUGUCUGCUCAUCAGUGCAGGAAUUUCUGCAGGAACAAGAAGCGCUGACAGUGGAUACUCCACAAAAGGCAGUUUGAUACUUUAAAGAAAUGUGCAUAAUGUUCUAAAUAUCCAGCAGCAACUUCACAGAUUAAAUAAGAUGAAACAAAACAGAGAUAGAAAUUUGUGCUGAUGAAAUAGCGUGAAUCAUCAUGCAGCAGUUAAAUUUACCAUGCUGCUGGAGCUGCAAUAACCCAGCAAACCUCCGUGGUACCUGCGCUUACAUAGGGACACAAAAUCAGGGACAUAAACACGAAGAAACCAGACUGAAUGAGUGAUUUCAAGAGUGAAUGAACGGGUGAUCAUGUUUGUGUCCUUGCCCUUAUGUCCUUAUGCUAGUGCAAAAAUCAUGGAACCUGACCAACAAGCUAAAUUUCAAGCAUUGGCUAACAGACCUCGCUGUGUUGUAAGAUGUAGUUUUUGAAACUGUCAUCAACGGAGUAGUGAUGUCAGUGUGGAAGUGAAACUAGCAGUUGGUCGCACAAAAGAACUGCUGUGCCAUUCAAAAACUUGCCAUGUGGUCUUAAUUGCUUGUGUAGAAACUUCUUCCAAAAUGCACAUUGAAACAUACGCAGAUAAAAAGGGGGGUUCCACUGACUCCCCAUACCCAUUCUUGUUCUGAAGCAAGGUACUGGACUUCAUAGUCUGCUGCCUAUUGUAUAGACUGUCAACCCCUGGGGGAAAAAAGAAUGAGAAAGAUAAGGCAGAGGCUAUGUUUAUGAAUAUUUAACAACUCUGUUAGAAAACCUGUGGCGGUAGCUUAGUGGCGAUGGUGUUGCGCUGCAAAGGUCAUGGGUCCAAUCCAGGCUGCGGAGGCUACAUUUUGAUAGGGGCGAAAUGCAAAAAUGCUCUGUUACAUUCAGGUGCACAUUAACCCCUUAACUGCCAUGACAAAUUAAAAAAAAAAGGUAGCUCUUCAUUUCAUUCUGGAGGAUCCACCCCAUCCAUGGUCAAUCUUCUGUGACUCCAAGGCAGCCCUCCAGAGUUUACUCUCAAUACUGCGCCAUGGAUCGCAUGAGCAGCUCGUUGCACAGAUCAGACAAAUACACCAUCGCAUAGUUGACGAAGGACACAAUAUAAUAUAUCAGUGGUUGCCUAGCCACUGUGGUAUACAUGGCAAUGAUCGAGCGGGCGCAGCUGCCCGAUCUGCCCAUCACGGCGUCAACUGCGUUGCCGUUCUUCUUUUGAGAGCCGACGCAGCGAAAAAAACUUUCCAGUGCUUGUGCAUGACCUAACAUUGAUUCAAUGGAAUUCAUCUGAUUUCACAAGUGCACGCCUGCAUACCCUGGACCCUAAUUUACAGCUCCGUAUUCAAUCCGGCCUUCCACGAUGUGACUGUGCACUUCUAGUCCGUCUAUGGCUUGGAGUAGCAUUUUCAAAUGCGUACUUCUUUCUUAUUGGAAUGGCCAAUAGCCCACUUUGUGACUUCUGCGGGUGCAACGAAACAAUCGCGCACCUUCUUUGUGAGUGCCCUCGUUUCAACCAGCAGAGCAGCCCUCUCAGCCAUGAUAGAUCAACUUGACAAACGCCCAAUAACGGGAAACAACAUCCUUGGAAACUGGCCUACACGAAAAACAGCACGAGCCGCCCUGAAGGCACUGCUGCAUUACUUAAGAGACACUGGACUGAGUGACAAAUUGUGACUCUACACUGUGUGACGUAGGGUGGGACAUUGACACUAUGCAACACUAGAACGCCUUCGCAGAUUGCAUGACAGUGCCCACAAAAACAGUUCUGCGUUGUGUGUGUGUGUGAUUUUCUUUUCUUUCCUUUUUUAUGCUUAUUUUUCGCUCUCUCUCACCUAUCGCAUCCCUUACCCCUUCCUUGGUAAAGGGUAGCCAACCAGGGAUAAUCUCUGGUUAACCUCCCUGUCUUUCAUUUACCUUUCUCUCUCUCUCUCUCUCUAAAAAAAAAUUUUUGUGACAAAUUUUUUUAGAGCUACAUAUAUUGUGCAAUAUUUAUUUGUCAAAAUUACAACUGUACAUAUACCAGACUUGUCAACUAGAAUAUCGGUUAUCCCUGUUCUCUGAUCCACACCGCUCUCUUCCCGUCUCUUAACGUUAGGCCUAACAUUUUUUGUUCCAUCGCUCUUUGUGCGGUCCUUAACUUGUUGUAAACUUCAUUGUUCCUGGGACUUGAAGACGCCUUUAGUUUGGCCAAUGAAAAGCUGAAAAGUUUGUCCAUAUGUUAUUUCCUGCCUACAACGUCUUAAGUGGCUUUCACCAUCGAGAAAUACCAGCACCUGGUCAAUUCGUCUGCCAACAUCUCGUGGUGCAUUAAGGUGAAGCAAAUACUUAUAAUGUCCUAAGUGACCUUCACCAUUGUCCUGCAGUGGACAUAAAUAUAGGCCGAUGAUGAUGAUAUACCAGACUUGUACACGUUACAGAAAAAAAGUAACCGUUUACAAUAACAGUUACUUAAUGCAAAAUGUAAUUGAUUACAGUACCGAUUACUGUUCCACGAAAGUAAUUGAGAAAUUACACAAUAGUAAUCGAUUAAUUUUACGUUACUUUCCUCCAAACUUUUUGCUAACAUUGCAUAGGUACAGUAAACAGAACAAGCUUGCCUGGCACUCUUCAAUGCGUCCUGUGCAGCCGUUCAUACAUUGCUUAUGUGCACUAGCAAUUGCUUUUAACAAAUUUCGUGGGUCAUCAUCCUUCUUUUUUCUUGUGAAGACAUCAGCAGAAACUCUGAAUACUUCCUUAAGGAGGAGGUAAAAGAGGCAGGUUAACCAGCUCACUCGAUGUGCGCACAGGGUGGUAAGGUGGUGUUGCAACGUAUAUGGUGCAGACGAUUGUGGUUGCUCAGCAUCUGGGUCCUCUAUGAAUAGCAGCACUUCAUUGUUCCUGGGACUUGAAGAAGACGCUUUCAGUUUGGCCAAUGAAAAGCUGGAAAGUUUGUCCAUAUGUUAUUUCCUGCCUAUAACGUCAUAAGUGGCUUUCACCAUCAAGAAAUACCAGCACCUGGUCAAUUCGUCUGCCAACAUUUGGUGGUGCAUUAAGAUGAAACAAAUACUUAUAAUGUUCUAAGUGGCCUUCACCAUCGAUAAAUACCAGCAUCUGAUCAAUUCGUCUGCCAACAUCUGGUGGAGCGUUAAGAUGAAACAAAUACUCAGCCCCCGGGGUCGCCUGUCUGAACAUGCACAUUUGCGAGGCUGCAGCCUGGCACAAUCUCGGGUGUUCUACUUUAGUUUUUGCCAAAUUCAGAUUCUCUAAGCUGCGUCAUUUGUCACAGCUUGUCUUAACAAUAAAGUAACUGGUUACGUCUAAUUGGUUAAGGAAAAAAAGUAAUUCAAUUACUGUGAGCCUUAUCAAGUAAACAAAGUAAUCGUUAUAUUAAAAAAAUAAUUGAUUUCAAGUAAUUCAUUACAUGUAAUUCAUUACGUACAAGUAUGUGCAAAAAUUGUGUCAAGUUCACAGCAAGUUAACUCAUCAACGGCACCAGAGGAUGCUCGUUGUGAUGACAAGUUACCUUGUCAUUGGUAGUUAAGGGGUCCUUAACGACAAAUUAAAAAAAAAAAACAUUUAAUAUUGCAAAAUUUUUUAGACCUGCAUAUCUUGUGGCAAUCUUUUUUUCUGAAAAAAAAAAUGUGAUACUAAGAAUGCCUAUUGGAUUUUUACUGCUCUUGUUGAGAAAAAUUAAUAAAAGUAAUUUAUUUGUCAAAAUAAUAAGAAACUGCAUGUAUACACAUAUGCAAAAAUUGCGAAAACUUCACAAUGACUCGUCAUCAGCACCAGAGGACACUCAUUGUGAUGAUGAGUUACCUAGUCAUAGGCAGUUAAAAGGUUAAAGAACCCCAGAUGGUCAAAAUUAAUAUGGAGUCCCCCACUAUGAAAUGCCUCAUAAUCAGAUUUUGGUUUUGGCACGAACAAUCCCAGACUUCAAUUUCCAUAAGCACCAGAGACAGAACUGUGAACAGAGAGCUGCACUUCCUGCAUUAUCUGAGAAACAGUGUAGGAUGCAAUCAUGCUAGUAGCACAGCACAUAGAAAAGAGAGCAUGCCACAUCUUGUAAAAUACAGUGGUGUUUCUUUAAUAUGCUUUACUGUGAACACAAAUAAUCCAUCUGCUGUCUGAAGAAUCAAGUGUCUACUUUGGGUGAUGGAGUGCAUUGGCAACAAAAUUUCAGUGAAGGACUUUCUUUCGCAUCAUUCAGCAUAAGGCUUCAAAUGCUACCACUAUAUCGCACUGUUAUCCGCUCGCUUGAAGUUAAAACUUGAGUACAUCCAAAUAACGUCAGUCGAGCACCUUUGAAUAUAUAAUGACAUUAUACAAAGGAAACACCUGUGACCUUUAUGAUUUUAUACCAAUCUUGUGCUCAUAGAAUAAAGCGUGGUGUUUUGAAACAUAUAUAAGAAAAUAUAAAAUUCUGCAGAAACCAUCGACGAUGAUUGUCAGUGUAAGCGAAUAGCCUGAGCGAACAAGCAAAUGUUUUCCUUGCCGAACGCUCCAUUACUGCAUCUAAACCUCCAGACACAUCAAAGCUUACGUACAGUAGCACGUGCAUAUCAAAGAGCUAUAAAGUUUGCAUUUGAUGACGAACGUGCCCUGCAGCUCGGUUGCAUGAGAGCACACGCCCUUUGCAUCGGCCCCAUACCGCAAGUCCUACCACCAGGUGCAAAGACGGGCAAAAGAGGCAAAAAAAGCUAUUCCCUUUAUGCUUUAGUUUUAUGUUUGACUUGAAAGUGUCAUUUCAAAUAGCGCCUAUCCUUGCUGAUAUGAUGUUUUUGUAACAUA